UACGUAGGGGGCAAGCGUUGUCCGGAUUUAUUGGGCGUAAAGAGCUCGUAGGCGGUGUGUCGCGUCGGCCGUGAAAACCUGCAGCUUAACUGUGGGCUUGCGGUCGAUACGGGCAUCACUGGAGUUCGGCAGGGGAGACUGGAAUUCCUGGUGUAGCGGUGAAAUGCGCAGAUAUCAGGAGGAACACCGGUGGCGAAGGCGGGAUCCUGGGCCAGUACUGACGCUGAGGAGCGAAAGCGUGGGGAGCAAACAGG
This 254-nucleotide ribosomal RNA is filed under the name uncultured bacterium. RNAcentral describes it as "partial 16S ribosomal RNA". It matches the Rfam family "Bacterial small subunit ribosomal RNA", at positions 524 to 776 of the family's 1533-position model. The record is from RNAcentral.